This 68-nucleotide transfer RNA is filed under the name Eremobates cf. palpisetulosus SEM-2008. RNAcentral's name for it is "tRNA-Ala". The record is from RNAcentral. Lineage: Eukaryota; Metazoa; Arthropoda; Arachnida; Solifugae; Eremobatidae.
AAAUAUGUAUUUAAAAUAAUAAAAUCUGACUUGCUAUCAGAUAUCGUUGGCUAAACCAACCAUAUUUA